AGUGAACGCUGGCGGUAGGCCUAACACAUGCAAGUCGAACGGCAGCACAGUAAGCGCUUUCUCUUACGGGUGGCGAGUGGCGGACGGGUGAGGAAUACAUCGCAAUCUACUUUUUCGUGGGGGAUAUCGUAGGGCAACUUACGCUAAUACCUCAUACGACCUACGGGUGAAAGCAGUGGAUCUUCGGACCUUGCGCGAUUGAAUGAGCCGAUGUCGGAUUAGCUAGUUGGCGUGGUAAAGGCCCACCAAGGCGACGAUCCGUAGCUGGUCUGAGAGGAUGAUCAGCCACACUGGAACUGAGACACGGUCCAGACUCCUACGGGAGGCAGCAGUAGGGAAUAUUGGACAAUGGGCGAAAGCCUGAUCCAGCCACACCGCGUGGGUGAAGAAGGCCUUCGGAUUGUAAAGCCCUUUUGUUAGGAAAGAAAAGCAGUGGGAUAAAACCCGGCUGUUCUGACGGUACCCAAAGAAUAAGCAACGGCUAACUUCGUG
RNAcentral lists this ribosomal RNA (492 nucleotides) under uncultured bacterium. RNAcentral's name for it is "partial 16S ribosomal RNA". It matches the Rfam family "Bacterial small subunit ribosomal RNA", at positions 29 to 507 of the family's 1533-position model. The record is from RNAcentral.